This 83-nucleotide ribosomal RNA is filed under the name Escherichia coli. RNAcentral also lists the same sequence under 3 other names. Lineage: Bacteria; Pseudomonadati; Pseudomonadota; Gammaproteobacteria; Enterobacterales; Enterobacteriaceae. The record is from RNAcentral.
CCCAUGCCGAACUCAGAAGUGAAACGCCGUAGCGCCGAUGGUAGUGUGGGGUUUCCCCAUGCGAGAGUAGGGAACUGCCAGGC